This 426-nucleotide ribosomal RNA is filed under the name uncultured bacterium. RNAcentral describes it as "partial 16S ribosomal RNA". It matches the Rfam family "Bacterial small subunit ribosomal RNA", at positions 354 to 796 of the family's 1533-position model. The record is from RNAcentral.
GUGAGGAAUUUUCCGCAAUGGGCGAAAGCCUGACGGAGCAAUGCCGCGUGAAGGAUGAAGGCCUAUGGGUUGUAAACUUCUUUUCUUAGAGAAGAAUAUUGACGGUAUCUGAGGAAUAAGCAUCGGCUAACUCUGUGCCAGCAGCCGCGGUAAGACAGAGGAUGCAAGCGUUAUCCGGAAUGAUUGGGCGUAAAGCGUCUGUAGGUGGCUUCAAAAGUCUCCUGUCAAAGAUCAGGGCUUAACCCUGGGCCGGCAGGAGAAACUCUGAGGCUAGAGUUUGGUAGGGGCAGAGGGAAUGCCCGGUGGAGCGGUGAAAUGCGUAGAGAUCAGGAGGAACACCAAAGGCGAAAGCACUCUGCUGGGCCACAACUGACACUGAGAGACGAAAGCGAGGGGAGCAAAAGGGAUUAGAUACCCGAGUAGUCC